AUUGAACGCUGGCGGCAUGCUUUACACAUGCAAGUCGAACGGUAACAGGUUAAGCUGACGAGUGGCGAACGGGUGAGUAAUGCAUCGGAACGUGCCCGGUCGUGGGGGAUAACGCAGCGAAAGCUGCGCUAAUACCGCAUACGAUCUGAGGAUGAAAGCGGGGGACCGUAAGGCCUCGCGCGAUCGGAGCGGCCGAUGUCAGAUUAGGUAGUUGGUGGGGUAAAGGCUCACCAAGCCGACGAUCUGUAGCUGGUCUGAGAGGACGACCAGCCACACUGGGACUGAGACACGGCCCAGACUCCUACGGGAGGCAGCAGUGGGGAAUUUUGGACAAUGGGCGCAAGCCUGAUCCAGCAAUGCCGCGUGCAGGAAGAAGGCCUUCGGGUUGUAAACUGCUUUUGUACGGAGCGAAAAGGCUCUCUCUAAUACAGGGGGCUCAUGACGGUACCGUAAGAAUAAGCACCGGCUAACUACGUGCCAGCCGCCGCCGUAA
RNAcentral lists this ribosomal RNA (493 nucleotides) under uncultured bacterium. RNAcentral's name for it is "partial 16S ribosomal RNA". It matches the Rfam family "Bacterial small subunit ribosomal RNA", at positions 29 to 523 of the family's 1533-position model. The record is from RNAcentral.